Molecule: ribosomal RNA, 460 nt
Filed under: uncultured bacterium
Lineage: Bacteria
Description: partial 16S ribosomal RNA
Rfam family: Bacterial small subunit ribosomal RNA
Source: RNAcentral
CCUACGGGAGGCAGCAGUGAGGAAUAUUGGUCAAUGGCCGGAAGGCUGAACCAGCCAUGUAGCGUGAAGGUCAGUGCCCUAUGGGCGUUAAACUUUUUUUGUGCGGGAGCAAUAAUGGUCACGUGUGGCCAGACGAGAGUACCGUACGAAUAAGCAUCGGCUUACUCCGUGCCAGCCGCCGGGGUAAUACGGGGGAUGCAAGCGUUAUCCGGAUUUUAUGGGUUUAAAGGGUGCGUAGGCUGUGAGGUAAGUCAUCGGUGAAAUGCCCGCGCUCAACGGGGUGAAGUGCCAUUGAUACUGCCUUGCUGGAAUGCGGAUGCCGUGGGAGGAAUGUGUGGUGUAGCGGUGAAAUGCAUAGAUAGCACACAGAACACCGAUUGCGAAGGCAUCUCACGAAUCCGCGAUUGACGCUGAUGCACGAAAGCGUGGGUAUCAAACAGGAUUAGAUACCCUAGUAGUC